AGUGAACGCUGGCGGUAGGCCUAACACAUGCAAGUCGAACGGCAGCACAGUAAGAGCUUGCUCUUACGGGUGGCGAGUGGCGGACGGGUGAGGAAUACAUCGGAAUCUACUUUUUCGUGGGGGAUAACGUAGGGGAACUUACGCUAAUACCGCAUACGACCUACGGGUGAAAGCAGGGGAUCUUCGGACCUUGCGCGAUUGAAUGAGCCGAUGUCGGAUUAGCCAGUUGGCGGGGUAAAGGCCCACCAAGGCGACGAUCCGUAGCUGGUCUGAGAGGAUGAUCAGCCACACUGGAACUGAGACACGGUCCAGACUCCUACGGGAGGCAGCAGUGGGGAAUAUUGGACAAUGGGCGCAAGCCUGAUCCAGCCAUACCGCGUGGGUGAAGAAGGCCUUCGGGUUGUAAAGCCCUUUUGUUGGGAAAGAAAAGCAGUAGGUUAAUACCCCGCUGUUCUGACGGUACCCAAAGAAUAAGCACCGGCUAACUUCGUG
RNAcentral lists this ribosomal RNA (492 nucleotides) under uncultured bacterium. Its description in RNAcentral is "partial 16S ribosomal RNA". It matches the Rfam family "Bacterial small subunit ribosomal RNA", at positions 29 to 507 of the family's 1533-position model. The record is from RNAcentral.